Molecule: ribosomal RNA, 465 nt
Filed under: Vreelandella stevensii
Lineage: Bacteria; Pseudomonadati; Pseudomonadota; Gammaproteobacteria; Oceanospirillales; Halomonadaceae
Description: partial 16S ribosomal RNA
Rfam family: Bacterial small subunit ribosomal RNA
Source: RNAcentral
CCUACGGGAGGCUGCAGUGGGGAAUAUUGGACAAUGGGGGGAACCCUGAUCCAGCCAUGCCGCGUGUGUGAAGAAGGCCCUCGGGUUGUAAAGCACUUUCAGUGAGGAAGAACGCCUGGUGGUUAAUACCCAUCAGGAAAGACAUCACUCACAGAAGAAGCACCGGCUAACUCCGUGCCAGCAGCCGCGGUAAUACGGAGGGUGCGAGCGUUAAUCGGAAUUACUGGGCGUAAAGCGCGCGUAGGUGGCUUGAUAAGCCGGUUGUGAAAGCCCCGGGCUCAACCUGGGAACGGCAUCCGGAACUGUCAAGCUAGAGUGCAGGAGAGGAAGGUAGAAUUCCCGGUGUAGCGGUGAAAUGCGUAGAGCUCGGGAGGAAUACCAGUGGCGAAGGCGGCCUUCUGGACUGACACUGACACUGAGGUGCGAAAGCGUGGGUAGCAAACAGGAUUAGAUACCCCAGUAGUC